CCUACGGGAGGCUGCAGUGGGGAAUAUUGGACAAUGGGGGCAACCCUGAUCCAGCCAUGCCGCGUGUGUGAAGAAGGCCCUCGGGUUGUAAAGCACUUUCAGUGAGGAAGAACGCCUGGUGGUUAAUACCCAUCAGGAAAGACAUCACUCACAGAAGAAGCACCGGCUAACUCCGUGCCAGCAGCCGCGGUAAUACGGAGGGUGCGAGCGUUAAUCGGAAUUACUUGGCGUAAAGCGCGCGUAGGUGGCUUGAUAAGCCGGUUGUGAAAGCCCCGGGCUCAACCUGGGAACGGCAUCCGGAACUGUCAAGCUAGAGUGCAGGAGAGGAAGGUAGAAUUCCCGGUGUAGCGGUGAAAUGCGUAGAGAUCGGGAGGAAUACCAGUGGCGAAGGCGGCCUUCUGGACUGACACUGACACUGAGGUGCGAAAGCGUGGGUAGCAAACAGGAUUAGAUACCCCUGUAGUC
This 465-nucleotide ribosomal RNA is filed under the name Vreelandella stevensii. RNAcentral's name for it is "partial 16S ribosomal RNA". It matches the Rfam family "Bacterial small subunit ribosomal RNA", at positions 338 to 795 of the family's 1533-position model. Lineage: Bacteria; Pseudomonadati; Pseudomonadota; Gammaproteobacteria; Oceanospirillales; Halomonadaceae. The record is from RNAcentral.